GGGCACGACACCGGAGAGGGAGCCUGAGAAACGGCUACCACAUCCAAGGAUGGCAGCAGGCGCGCAAAUUACCCAAUCCCGACACGGGGAGGUAGUGACAAUAAAUAACAAUACGGGGUUCUUUCGGAUCUCGUAAUUGGAAUGAGUACAAUUUAAAUCUCUUAACGAGGAACAAUUGGAGGGCAAGUCUGGUGCCAGCAGCCGCGGUAAUUCCAGCUCCAAUAGCGUAUAUUAAAGUUGUUGCAGUUAAAAAGCUCGUAGUUGAAUUUCGGGAUCAGAUUGUCGGUCGUGCCUCGGUACGCACUGGCAUUAUUGGUUCCUACCUUCUGAAGAACCGCGAUGUCAUUAAUUUGGUGUCGUGGGGAAUCAGGACUGUUACUUUGAAAAAAUUAGAGUGUUUAAAGCAGGCGCACGCUUGAAUACAUUAGCAUGGAAUAAUGAAAUAGGACGUUUGAUUCUAUUUUGUUGGUUUCUAGGAUCGACGUAAUGAUUAAUAGGGAUAGUUGGGGGCAUUAGUAUUCAAUUGUCAGAGGUGAAAUUCUUGGAUUUAUUGAAGACUAACUACUGCGAAAGCAUUUGCCAAGGAUGUUUUCAUUAAUCAAGAACGAAAGUUAGGGGAUCGAAGACGAUCAGAUACCGUCGUAGUCUUAACCAUAAACUAUGCCGACUAGGGAUCGGAUGAUGUUAAUUCUUUAAUGACUCAUUCGGCGCCUUACGGGAAACCAAAG
Molecule: ribosomal RNA, 728 nt
Filed under: uncultured Glomeromycotina
Lineage: Eukaryota; Fungi; Glomeromycota
Description: SSU rRNA
Rfam family: Eukaryotic small subunit ribosomal RNA
Source: RNAcentral